GUUCUUGCUUCGGCAGCACAUAUUCUAAAAUUGGAAUGAUACAGAGAAGAUUAGCAUAGCCCCUGUGCAAGGAUGACAUGCAAAUUCGUGAAGCAUUCCAUAGUUUU
Molecule: small nuclear RNA, 107 nt
Organism: Erinaceus europaeus (western European hedgehog)
Lineage: Eukaryota; Metazoa; Chordata; Mammalia; Eulipotyphla; Erinaceidae
Source: Ensembl